UAAGGAAUAUUGGACAAUGGAGGCAACUCUGAUCCAGCCAUGCCGCGUGAAGGAAUAAGGCCCUAUGGGUUGUAAACUUCUUUUAGACGGGACAAAACCCCUUUGCGUGUAAAGGGUUGAUGGUACUGUCAGAAUAAGCAUCGGCUAACUUCGUGCCAGCAGCCGCGGUAAUACGAAGGAUGCAAGCGUUAUCCGGAAUUAUUGGGUUUAAAGGGUGCGUAGGCGGACUAAUAAGUCAGUGGUGAAAGCCUGCAGCUUAACUGCAGAAUUGCCAUUGAUACUGUUAGUCUUGAGUACAGUUGAGGUAGGCGGAAUGUGUCAUGUAGCGGUGAAAUGCUUAGAUAUGACACAGAACACCGAUUGCGAAGGCAGCUUGCUAAGCUGUAACUGACGCUGAGGCACGAAAGCGUGGGGAGCAAACA
RNAcentral lists this ribosomal RNA (422 nucleotides) under uncultured bacterium. Its description in RNAcentral is "bacterial SSU rRNA". It matches the Rfam family "Bacterial small subunit ribosomal RNA", at positions 355 to 774 of the family's 1533-position model. The record is from RNAcentral.